AACGAACGCUGGCGGCAGGCUUAACACAUGCAAGUCGAACGGUUGUAGCAAUACAGCAGUGGCAGACGGGUGAGUAACACGUGGGAACCUUCCUAGGGGGUACGGAACAACUCAGGGAAACUUGAGCUAAUACCGUAUACGUCCGUGAGGAGAAAGAUUUAUCGCCCUUAGACGGGCCCGCGUCGGAUUAGCUAGUUGGUGGGUAACGGCCUACCAAGGCGACGAUCCGUAGCUGAUCUUAGAGGAUGAUCAGCCACACUGGGACUGAGACACGGCCCAGACUCCUACGGGAGGCAGCAGUGGGGAAUCUUGGACAAUGGGCGCAAGCCUGAUCCAGCCAUGCCGCGUGAGUGAAGAAGGUCUUCGGAUUGUAAAGCUCUUUUGCCAGGGACGAUAAUGACGGUACCUGGAGAAUAAGCCCCGGCAAACUUCGUGCCAGCAGCCGCGGUAAU
Molecule: ribosomal RNA, 452 nt
Filed under: uncultured bacterium
Lineage: Bacteria
Description: bacterial SSU rRNA
Rfam family: Bacterial small subunit ribosomal RNA
Source: RNAcentral